Non-coding RNA from Cinara cedri, 513 nucleotides. Lineage: Eukaryota; Metazoa; Arthropoda; Insecta; Hemiptera; Aphididae. The record is from the annotation of a GenBank genome assembly.
GGGAAAUUAAAAACAACUCUCUUACUCACCAACUAGAAAUUAAAAAUUUAACGAAAAAAAAUUCUUGUCGUUCAUCAAUUAUAGCAAUAUUGUUGAUAGAAAACGUAGCGCGUAAACAUUUCAAACGACGAAAUUUGUAACACCGCGGUGUUCCAUAAAUAUUUGCCAUUUUCCCAAUAAUUUCGUUUCCGGUUUUUCCAAAUUAUUUUGAAAACCCUUGGGAAAAUCAAAAAAUGACCGGUUUAAUGCAUCAUUGCAUCCGCUAAAUUAAAAAUGCAACCAAAAAUGUCCGCUUGUCAUUUCGAUUGGAUAAGUUUUCUGUUGGAAAUGUCGUUUAUACGGACACACUACGCGUAUAUCAUAGUAAAACCAAUAGAUCCCUCGCUCUGCUCCGAAUCUAAAUAGUACGUAGAGACGGUUCGCCACCGGAAAACGACCUCGAUGCAGGGAGCAAGUGAAAACCGGUGAACAGACGAGACACGGAAAAACUCACCACACCGAACUCAAAUACAC